Caenorhabditis briggsae is the source of this 84-nucleotide microRNA precursor. It matches the Rfam family "mir-83 microRNA precursor family". NCBI's taxonomy places the organism in Eukaryota, Metazoa, Nematoda, Chromadorea, Rhabditida, Rhabditidae. The record is from Rfam.
CACUCGAAAAAACUGAGUUUAUGUGUGUACUUGACGGCGAUCAGAGCAACGAUCUAGCACCAUAUAAAUUCAGUGUUUUCGUGG